This is an RNA transcript of Homo sapiens (human), 3028 nucleotides long. It is a transcript of the gene named diphthamide biosynthesis 1, with no coding region annotated. The record is from RefSeq and is marked reviewed. The transcript has 13 exons. Lineage: Eukaryota; Metazoa; Chordata; Mammalia; Primates; Hominidae.
ACAUGCGCAGGCAGGUGAUGGCGGCGCUGGUCGUAUCCGGGGCAGCGGAGCAGGGCGGCCGAGACGGCCCUGGCAGAGGUCGGGCCCCUCGGGGCCGCGUGGCCAAUCAGAUCCCCCCUGAGAUCCUGAAGAACCCUCAGCUGCAGGCAGCAAUCCGGGUCCUGCCUUCCAACUACAACUUUGAGAUCCCCAAGACCAUCUGGAGGAUCCAACAAGCCCAGGCCAAGAAGGUGGCCUUGCAAAUGCCGGAAGGCCUCCUCCUCUUUGCCUGUACCAUUGUGGAUAUCUUGGAAAGGUUCACGGAGGCCGAAGUGAUGGUGAUGGGUGACGUGACCUACGGGGCUUGCUGUGUGGAUGACUUCACAGCGAGGGCCCUGGGAGCUGACUUCUUGGUGCACUACGGCCACAGUUGCCUGAUUCCCAUGGACACCUCGGCCCAAGACUUCCGGGUGCUGUACGUCUUUGUGGACAUCCGGAUAGACACUACACACCUCCUGGACUCUCUCCGCCUCACCUUUCCCCCAGCCACUGCCCUUGCCCUGGUCAGCACCAUUCAGUUUGUGUCGACCUUGCAGGCAGCCGCCCAGGAGCUGAAAGCCGAGUAUCGUGUGAGUGUCCCACAGUGCAAGCCCCUGUCCCCUGGAGAGAUCCUGGGCUGCACAUCCCCCCGACUGUCCAAAGAGGUGGAGGCCGUUGUGUAAGUUAAAAAUGGGGGCCAAGUAAGUCCUAGAGACAUGCGUGUACCCUGGGAGGGAGCCUGAGGUUCAUCAUCCAGGAAAGAAACCAAAUCUAAUGCUCCUUACCUGUGAGCCCGAGGUCACACUGCAAGGUAGGGACCAAACAGGGAGCAGACCUCAGGUUUACUGUCGCUUUCUCCACUGCCCAGUCCAUCAUCCAGAAGGCUGUGCAGGGUGGGGGCAGGAAUCAGAGGGCCUGAUGGGGGUUGAGGGUGGGCUGGAAAUGGUGGGAAUAUAAUUGGAGAAGAUGGAUGGGCACGCCCAGGCUGCAGCCCCAUUAAUUUACCAUCCGGACAGCUAACAAGCAGAAGCAGCGUGUCUCCUGCCGCCUAAUUAUUUUAGGUAUCUUGGAGAUGGCCGCUUCCAUCUGGAGUCUGUCAUGAUUGCCAACCCCAAUGUCCCCGCUUACCGGUAUGACCCAUAUAGCAAAGUCCUAUCCAGAGAACACUAUGACCACCAGCGCAUGCAGGCUGCUCGCCAAGAAGCCAUAGCCACUGCCCGCUCAGCUAAGUCCUGGGGCCUUAUUCUGGGCACUUUGGGCCGCCAGGGCAGUCCUAAGAUCCUGGAGCACCUGGAAUCUCGACUCCGAGCCUUGGGCCUUUCCUUUGUGAGGCUGCUGCUCUCUGAGAUCUUCCCCAGCAAGCUUAGCCUACUUCCUGAGGUGGAUGUGUGGGUGCAGGUGGCAUGUCCACGUCUCUCCAUUGACUGGGGCACAGCCUUCCCCAAGCCGCUGCUGACACCCUAUGAGGCGGCCGUGGCUCUGAGGGACAUUUCCUGGCAGCAGCCCUACCCGAUGGACUUCUACGCUGGCAGCUCCUUGGGGCCCUGGACGGUGAACCACGGCCAGGACCGCCGUCCCCACGCCCCGGGCCGGCCCGCGCGGGGGAAGGUGCAGGAGGGGUCCGCGCGUCCCCCUUCGGCCGUGGCUUGCGAGGACUGCAGCUGCAGGGACGAGAAGGUGGCGCCGCUGGCUCCUUGACGCGCUCCCGGGCCUCAGGGUCCUGCCCUCCGGAGGAGCAGCCUCGAGGCUGGUGGUUUUCAGAGCAGGAGGCCGACGUUUUCUCCGCAUUGGAAGAGCCCGCCGUCUGCAGGGGCCUGGAGGAAUCACUGGGGAUGGUGGCACAGGCACUGAACAGGCUGGGGCCUUUUGACGGCCUUCUUGGUUUCAGCCAAGGGGCUGCGCUAGCAGCCCUUGUGUGUGCCCUGGGCCAGGCAGGCGAUCCCCGCUUCCCCUUGCCACGGUUUAUCCUCUUGGUGUCUGGUUUCUGUCCCCGGGGCAUUGGGUUCAAGGAAUCCAUCCUGCAAAGGCCCUUGUCAUUGCCUUCGCUCCAUGUUUUUGGGGACACUGACAAAGUCAUCCCCUCUCAGGAGAGUGUGCAACUGGCCAGCCAAUUUCCCGGAGCCAUCACCCUCACCCACUCUGGUGGCCACUUCAUUCCAGCAGCUGCACCCCAGCGUCAGGCCUACCUCAAGUUCUUGGACCAGUUUGCAGAGUGAAAGAUCAAGAAAUGUCUCUGCUCCUACAUCCAGCUCCUCUAGGGGCAGCCUCCGUCAUCCAUGCCCUCCCAGGACCCUCCACUCACUGCUGUGAGUGCGCCUCACCAGAACCAGUUAAGAGACAACUAUCAAUUCUUGAGACCCAAAUUAUAAGGGCCCUGCCCUGUACUGAAGAAAAGGGGAGCACAAGGCCUUAAUGGACAUUGACUUGUGAAAACGCAAACAUGAAUAUGGUUGGAGAGCCCUGGAUUAGGAGGGUGACAUGGGGAAGGCAGAGGCUGGCACCAUGGUGACUGCCACAUAAUAAAGUGGUGAUUUGGAUUUUGAGCAUCUUUUUCCUGGUACACACAGAAAAACAUUUUAUAAUGGAAGUCGGUUUCUUGGCCAUCUACAUAGUUUUCUGGGCAGCGCCAAGCAGGGAGGUGUCUCCAGUUGUGAGUCCUCGGACAGGCUGCUGCAUGGGUGCACAUACUCACGUUAUUGGUGGAAGUUUUAAGUCCCAAACUGAAGGGAAGGAGGCCUAGGUGGCACAAUCAGGGAGGAAUAUACAUCUGAGAAGUUUUGGGAAGACAUCACCUGGCAAGGCUGCCUGAACCACAGUAAUUUAGUCUUCCUCUAUCCAGAUCACUGAGAGUUGUGUGCUGGUCUUCUCUCAAACCCUGGAUGUGUUACCUGCUUCUCCCUAAGUGCUCUAACCUCGCUGAACUAUGAGCCUGAAGGGUGGGUCGAUGCCAGACCUUAGGUGGAGGCCAAAGACAGUACAGAAUAAACAGCUUCUUCCUAAAUUGACCCCA